UGCAGUCGAGCGAAUGGAUUAAGAGCUUGCUCUUAUGAAGUUAGCGGCGGACGGGUGAGUAACACGUGGGUAACCUGCCCAUAAGACUGGGAUAACUCCGGGAAACCGGGGCUAAUACCGGAUAACAUUUUGAACUGCAUGGUUCGAAAUUGAAAGGCGGCUUCGGCUGUCACUUAUGGAUGGACCCGCGUCGCAUUAGCUAGUUGGUGAGGUAACGGCUCACCAAGGCAACGAUGCGUAGCCGACCUGAGAGGGUGAUCGGCCACACUGGGACUGAGACACGGCCCAGACUCCUACGGGAGGCAGCAGUAGGGAAUCUUCCGCAAUGGACGAAAGUCUGACGGAGCAACGCCGCGUGAGUGAUGAAGGCUUUCGGGUCGUAAAACUCUGUUGUUAGGGAAGAACAAGUGCUAGUUGAAUAAGCUGGCACCUUGACGGUACCUAACCAGAAAGCCACGGCUAACUACGUGCCAGCAGCCGCGGUAAUACGUAGGUGGCAAGCGUUAUCCGGAAUUAUUGGGCGUAAAGCGCGCGCAGGUGGUUUCUUAAGUCUGAUGUGAAAGCCCACGGCUCAACCGUGGAGGGUCAUUGGAAACUGGGAGACUUGAGUGCAGAAGAGGAAAGUGGAAUUCCAUGUGUAGCGGUGAAAUGCGUAGAGAUAUGGAGGAACACCAGUGGCGAAGGCGACUUUCUGGUCUGUAACUGACACUGAGGCGCG
RNAcentral lists this ribosomal RNA (718 nucleotides) under Bacillus cereus. Its description in RNAcentral is "bacterial SSU rRNA". It matches the Rfam family "Bacterial small subunit ribosomal RNA", at positions 56 to 755 of the family's 1533-position model. The record is from RNAcentral. RNAcentral also lists the same sequence under 1 other name. Lineage: Bacteria; Bacillati; Bacillota; Bacilli; Caryophanales; Bacillaceae.